RNAcentral lists this long non-coding RNA (1714 nucleotides) under Mus musculus (house mouse). RNAcentral's name for it is "long non-coding RNA chr8:19706138-19707852". Lineage: Eukaryota; Metazoa; Chordata; Mammalia; Rodentia; Muridae. The record is from RNAcentral.
AUCUGUGGACCACCUUUUAGCACUGGUUGCUCUUGCCUAACUCUUGUCUGCAUCCCUUGGCUGUCAGCCAGUUGGGAGGCUUCUUGUAUGCCUCCAAUGAGCCUUCAAGGAUGCUUCUGGAACUGGGAUAUUUAUCAGAGACAGAUCAGGAAAGCCAGCACCAUUACACAUGCAGCUCUGUGCUGCCUUGGGGACACAUUCUUGGCUGUCUUCCCAAAACGUUCGUGGUAUGGUACUGUCUGUCAGUAUUAACAAGCAUGGGUGUCCCUAAAUGUUUUUAUCUUUGUGUGUGUGUGUGUACUUGGGUGCACACAACUAGUAGUAUGUGCAUUCCUGCAUAUAAGUAUGCAUUUAUUUGAUUUGUACGUUAUCAUAAAAUAUUUUCUCUUUGCUAGGCAUGAUGGUCUGUGUGUAUAAUCUCAGAGUCCAGGAGGCUGGGGCAGGUAGGUAAAAGGCCAGCCUGGGCUAAAGAACAAGACCGAGUCUCAAGAAAACAGCACAAAACAAUAAAUAUGAGAUUUCUCCUAAACAGUGUGGUUUUGUUUUAAAGGUAUCUUCUCCACUUCCUUCCUUGUCCCCUCAAAGAUGUUGACUAACAUCAAGGCAACACCUUCUUUGUAGAUGAAAGAGGUAAGAUCCAUGUUUAUUCUGCCCCUUCCCAUGGCAUAGCCACAGGCAACAGAUACCUUAGCUCCUGCCAUAGGCAGGGAACAUGGGCUUGAGCUAUGUUUGGAAGGGGCAGGAUCUGGGGGACCCCCACUUAAUGCUGUAGGUGAUAAAGUGCUUGGAAGGGAUGGUGAAUGUCUGUUGACCAAGCAUGCAAAUCUGAGUUGUAACAUGUUACUUUUAGCUGUGUUGAUCUUGAGAAAACUACUCUCUGUGCUUCCGUGUCUCAAAGAAGUCAUCUCUGGUUGCGAGGGCCAAUAUGGCAGAUGCCAUUUACCUGUGGCCAGAGCGCUCAGAACAUGAGACCAGAUUUUAGUUUAAUUUUAAUUAACAUUUAAAUUCAAAUUGCUGUGACUAAUGGCUGCGAUAUAGAAUCCACCACUAGAGGACAGCACUGGGUGGCUUCAAGCCACAUACAUACACAACCUUCCCUCCUCCCCCAGUGUAAUCCAACUUAGUGAAAAUAAAUAAAUAAAUAAAUAAAUAAAUAAAUAAAUAAAUAAAGCAAGCUCUGCCUGCUCUUUCUUUGUUUCCCACAUCUAUUUUCUCUUUCCUUUUGAACUACUGAUACCAAAGGCUAGGAGAGGCUGACCUUCUUAAUGGGGACACUGGAGGGCAGCAAUGGGUACUUUCAAAAUGCUCAAUCCCAAGAGGUUUCCCGAGUCCCCUGGCAGUGCUUUGCUUGUGGCUGAUGGCCAGCAGCCUCAGGGGAAUGCAGAAAGCUGUGUUUGCUGAGCUCUGUCCUCUCUUUCCUGUGCUGGGCAGUGGGGUGGGGAGGUCAUGGAAGUGGCAGGUUGGCUGUUUUACAAACAAGUUCAAGUUCUCUUGUCUGUUGGUCCCCAUAGCAGUUGGGCUGUCAGCUGCUCAAACUGUUUUGUUCUCUAACCACAUUUGAAAACGAUGUGAGGAAGAAUAAACAACCGUGAAUGUGGAGUCAAGGAGACCUGAGGGUGAAGCCCAGCUUGGCUGCCUGCCUGCUGUGGACCUUGGACAAAUUGCAUGGCAAUUCUGGGUCCCUGGUCUCCUCUUCUGACACACCAUGACCUGG